Molecule: ribosomal RNA, 413 nt
Filed under: Salmonella enterica subsp. enterica
Lineage: Bacteria; Pseudomonadati; Pseudomonadota; Gammaproteobacteria; Enterobacterales; Enterobacteriaceae
Also listed under: 1 other name
Description: partial 23S ribosomal RNA
Rfam family: Bacterial large subunit ribosomal RNA
Source: RNAcentral
CAAGACAACUUUACGGAGUUGACGAUUGACGGAGCGAAGCGACGUCAAAGCGUUCAUUAAAGUCGAGUUGGCUUAGGGAUACGUUCGUUGGGUAGGGGAGCGUUCUGUAAGCCUGUGAAGGUGUGUCGUGAGGCAUGCUGGAGGUAUCAGAAGUGCGAAUGCUGACAUAAGUAACGAUAAAGCGGGUGAAAAGCCCGCUCGCCGGAAGACCAAGGGUUCCUGUCCAACGUUAAUCGGGGCAGGGUGAGUCGACCCCUAAGGCGAGGCCGAAAGGCGUAGUCGAUGGGAAACGGGUUAAUAUUCCCGUACUUGGUGUUACUGCGAAGGGGGGACGGAGAAGGCUAUGUUGGCCGGGCGACGGUUGUCCCGGUUUAAGCGUGUAGGUGUGUGUUCCAGGUAAAUCCGGUUCACUU